Molecule: small RNA, 1041 nt
Filed under: uncultured SAR324 cluster bacterium
Lineage: Bacteria; Deltaproteobacteria
Description: bacterial SSU rRNA
Rfam family: Bacterial small subunit ribosomal RNA (bases 1-401)
Source: RNAcentral
GGGCACUUUAGGGGGACUGCCGGUGACAAGCCGGAGGAGGGUGGGGAUGACGUCAAGUCCUCAUGGCCUUUAUGACCAGGGCUACACACGUGUUACAAUGGGAGUUACAGAGGGAAGCUAAACCGUGAGGUCAUGCCAAUCCCAGAAAAACUUUCUCAGUUCGGAUCGCAGUCUGCAACUCGACUGCGUGAAGCUGGAAUCGCUAGUAAUCGCGGAUCAGCACGCCGCGGUGAAUACGUUCCCGGGCCUUGUACACACCGCCCGUCACACCAUGGGAGCCGACAAGGGCAGAAGUCGCCGAGCUAACCUUCGGGAAGCAGGCGCCCAAGCUGUUGUUGACGACUGGGGUGAAGUCGUAACAAGGUAGCCGUAGGAGAACCUGCGGCUGGAUCACCUCCUUUCUAAGGACGCCGGAGAACCUCGAAAACUUUCCGGAUAAGUCAAAGUCGAAACAGGCUCUCUUCUCUCCCUUUUCUCCUGUAAUGUUUUAUUAGGGAUUGGGAAUUAGGAGUUAGGAAUUAGGAAUCAUCGCAAUAGUAUUGAUAUUCGUAAUUAAUAAUUCGUGAUUCGUAGUUCCCAAACGGGGCCUGUAGCUCAGCUUGGUUAGAGCGCAUCCCUGAUAAGGAUGAGGCCGGUGGUUCAAGUCCAUCCAGGCCCACCAUCCCAAUUACGACAGCAAUAUAUAAAUCGGUCGCGAGAAAAUUUGUGUCGUAACUCCUGUUGUAAUUAAAAAGGGGGAUUAGCUCAGCUGGUAGAGCGCCUGCUUUGCAAGCAGGAGGUCAGCGGUUCGACCCCGCUAUCCUCCACCAAGCUCAAGGUGUCCACCGAAAGAAGAUAAGAUUCAGCAAUUAUUUUUUCAAUUUCUGACUUUUAUUUUUUUCUUAGACAAUAGAAUCGGAGGUUUUGGUGACUCAAGAUCAAAUGUGAGGGUCUCCAAGGGUUGACGAUCUUGACUGUUAAAGUCAGGUAGUAAGGGCGCAGGGCGGAUGCCUUGGCUCUGGGAGGCGAUGAAGGACGUGGCUAGCUGCGAUAAGCCUCGGG